Molecule: transfer RNA, 71 nt
Filed under: Bos taurus (domestic cattle)
Lineage: Eukaryota; Metazoa; Chordata; Mammalia; Artiodactyla; Bovidae
Also listed under: 3 other names
Rfam family: tRNA
About the family: Transfer RNA (tRNA) molecules are approximately 80 nucleotides in length. Their secondary structure includes four short double-helical elements and three loops (D, anti-codon, and T loops).
Source: Rfam by way of RNAcentral
UCCCGGUUGGCUCAGUGGUAAAGAAUCCGCCUGCCAAACUGAAAACACAGGUUCGAUUCCUGGGUUGGGAA